Molecule: ribosomal RNA, 492 nt
Filed under: uncultured bacterium
Lineage: Bacteria
Description: partial 16S ribosomal RNA
Rfam family: Bacterial small subunit ribosomal RNA
Source: RNAcentral
AGUGAACGCUGGCGGUAGGCCUAACACAUGCAAGUCGAACGGCAGCACAGUAAGAGCUUGCUCUUACGGGUGGCGAGUGGCGGACGGGUGAGGAAUACAUCGGAAUCUACUUUUUCGUGGGGGAUAACGUAGUGAAACUUACGCUAAUACCGCAUACGACCUACGGGUGAAAGCAGGGGAUCUUCGGACCUUGCGCGAUUGAAUGAGCCGAUGUCGGAUUAGCUAGUUGGCGGGGUAAAGGCCCACCAAGGCGACGAUCCGUAGCUGGUCUGAGAGGAUGAUCAGCGACACUGGAACUGAGACACGGUCCAGACUCCUACGGGAGGCAGCAGUGGGGAAUAUUGGACAAUGGGCGCAAGCCUGAUCCAGCCAUACCGCGUGGGUGAAGAAGGCCUUCGGGUUGUAAAGCCCUUUUGUUGGGAAAGAAAAGCAGCAGGUUAAUACCCCGCUGUUCUGACGGUACCCAAAGAAUAAGCACCGGCUAACUUCGUG